RNAcentral lists this ribosomal RNA (198 nucleotides) under uncultured bacterium. RNAcentral's name for it is "partial 16S ribosomal RNA". It matches the Rfam family "Bacterial small subunit ribosomal RNA", at positions 335 to 524 of the family's 1533-position model. The record is from RNAcentral.
ACUCCUACGGGAGGCAGCAGUGGGGAAUCUUGCGCAAUGGGCGAAAGCCUGACGCAGCGACGCCGCGUGAGUGAUGAAGGCCUUCGGGUUGUAAAGCUCUGUAGGAGGGGGACGAAUAAGGGUUGGCUAACAAUCCAGCUCGAUGACGGUACCCUUUAGCAAGCACCGGCUAACUACUGUGCCAGCAGCCGCGGUAAU